This 253-nucleotide ribosomal RNA is filed under the name uncultured bacterium. RNAcentral's name for it is "partial 16S ribosomal RNA". It matches the Rfam family "Bacterial small subunit ribosomal RNA", at positions 524 to 776 of the family's 1533-position model. The record is from RNAcentral.
UACGUAGGUGGCAAGCGUUGUCCGGAUUUACUGGGCGUAAAGAGCGCGCAGGCGGUCGUUCAAGUCGAGUGUGAAAGCCCCGGGCUCAACCCGGGAAGUGCGUUGGAAACUGCGAGACUAGAGUCUCGGAGAGGAAGGUGGAAUUCCAGGUGUAGCGGUGAAAUGCGUAGAUAUCUGGAAGAACACCGGUGGCGAAGGCGGCCUUCUGGACGAUGACUGACGCUGAGACGCGAAAGCGUGGGGAGCAAACAGG